AGAGUUUGAUCCUGGCUCAGGAUGAACGCUGGCGGCGUGCCUAAUACAUGCAAGUCGAGCGAACUGAUUAGAAGCUUGCUUCUAUGACGUUAGCGGCGGACGGGUGAGUAACACGUGGGCAACCUGCCUGUAAGACUGGGAUAACUUCGGGAAACCGAAGCUAAUACCGGAUAGGAUCUUCUCCCUUCAUGGGAGAUGAUUGAAAGAUGGUUUCGGCUAUCACUUACAGAUGGGCCCGCGGUGCAUUAGCUAGUUGGUGAGGUAACGGCUCACCAAGGCAACGAUGCAUAGCCGACCUGAGAGGGUGAUCGGCCACACUGGGACUGAGACACGGCCCAGACUCCUACGGGAGGCAGCAGUAGGGAAUCUUUCCGCAAUGGACGAAAGUCUGACGGAGCAACGCCGCGUGAGUGAUGAAGGCUUUCGGGUCGUAAAACUCUGUUGUUAGGGAAGAACAAGUACAAGAGUAACUGCUUGUACCUUGACGGUACCUAMCCAUAUAGCCAGUGGUAUCAAAGGUUCANAUNAAAAC
Molecule: ribosomal RNA, 532 nt
Filed under: Priestia megaterium
Lineage: Bacteria; Bacillati; Bacillota; Bacilli; Caryophanales; Bacillaceae
Description: bacterial SSU rRNA
Rfam family: Bacterial small subunit ribosomal RNA
Source: RNAcentral